Long non-coding RNA from Equus quagga, 444 nucleotides. RefSeq lists it as uncharacterized. NCBI's taxonomy places the organism in Eukaryota, Metazoa, Chordata, Mammalia, Perissodactyla, Equidae. The transcript is spliced from 2 exons. The record is from RefSeq and is a predicted model, not a curated record.
GUGGGGGAAUUGAAGAAAGCCGUUCAAUGGAAAAAAGCCCGAGGCCAUGGGAGAGAGCUUCCUGCGCUUGAAUGAAGCCCUGACACCAGGCCCGUCGGAAUGAAUGGGCCUGACCUCCCCUCCCCCCUCUCCCCUCCUAGGCUGGCAAGUCCCACCGACUCGACUCGGCAGUGGAAGGCUAGGGGUUUCCACCGAAAUGGUGAACCGGCCCCCUUGUCCACAGGAAAACCACACACGGGUACAGCCUAGGCCGGAUCUCGGGCCAAGUCGUCAGGGUGGCAAGAUGAUGGCGGAUGAGAGGAAACUUGUUCUGGGACCGCCCCGCCCCCCCCAUCGCCUCUCUGGCUGAGAAGAGGGCCGGGGAGCGGCCCGAGUCUGAGCUACGACAGAUUCCCCUGUGGCUCGACCCGCAACCUCCCAUCCUGCCAGACCAGACCCCUUGUC